RNAcentral lists this ribosomal RNA (465 nucleotides) under uncultured Klebsiella sp. RNAcentral describes it as "bacterial SSU rRNA". It matches the Rfam family "Bacterial small subunit ribosomal RNA", at positions 338 to 795 of the family's 1533-position model. The record is from RNAcentral. Lineage: Bacteria; Pseudomonadati; Pseudomonadota; Gammaproteobacteria; Enterobacterales; Enterobacteriaceae.
GCUACGGGUGGCUGCAGUGGGGAAUAUUGCACAAUGGGCGCAAGCCUGAUGCAGCCAUGCCGCGUGUGUGAAGAAGGCCUUCGGGUUGUAAAGCACUUUCAGCGGGGAGGAAGGCGGUGAGGUUAAUAACCUCAUCGAUUGACGUUACCCGCAGAAGAAGCACCGGCUAACUCCGUGCCAGCGGCCGCGGUAAUACGGAGGGUGCAAGCGUUAAUCGGAAUUACUGGGCGUAAGGCGCACGCAGGCGGUCUGUCAAGUCGGAUGUGAAAUCCCCGGGCUCAACCUGGGAACUGCAUUCGAAACUGGCAGGCUAGAGUCUUGUAGAGGGGGGUAGAAUUCCAGGUGUAGCGGUGAAAUGCGUAGAGAUCUGGAGGAAUACCGGUGGCGAAGGCGGCCCCCUGGACAAAGACUGACGCUCAGGUGCGAAAGCGUGGGGAGCAAACAGGAUUAGAUACCCUUGUAGUC